UCCAAUGGGAGACAGCGAUGACGAGUUUGACAGGAGGGCGUCGGGAUAAAUUCAGGAGAGAGCGGAGCGACAUGGAGAGGUCAAGAGAGAGGAGGACAGGAGGAGGGAUGAGUGGCAAGACAGAGAGUGGGACCGGAAGCAGAGAGAGGAGGCGGGGAUUAUGACCGUGGUCGGCGAGAGCGGUUCUCUCCAUCCAGACACAUCAGCCCUCAGCACAAACGCAUGAGGAGAGACUGGGAAGACCACCGGGGGGAGCCAUACCGGUACGAGCUGCCGUACGGGGGCGGUGGUGGCAUCUACCCAGGGAUGGGGCCUCAGGGCUGGCACCCGGACUUCCCUCCCAUGCACCCCCACCCUGGAGGUCAUCCGCUGCAGGGCAGGUUGGGGAUGGUAGAUCCAGAUCUUCCUCCUCCGGGACCACCCACCCUGAAGAGUUUUAAGGAGUUCCUGUUGAACAUGGACGACAAUUGUGGACGAGACAGAGUCGGUCAAGCGCUACAACCAGUACAAGCUGGACUUCAGGCGGCAGGCAGCUGCAGGACUUCUUUCUCCAGCACAAAGACCAGGAGUGGUUCCGCUCCAAGUACCACCCAGAUGACAUGGCAGCGAAGAGGGCGGAGUCUCUGGCCGCCCUCAAGGCGCGCCUGCGUGUCUUUCUCUUCCUGCUGGACAACAGCUGGCUGGAUGAUGUGCUGCUGGACACGGACCACGCCCCCGCCAUCAUCAAGCUCAUGGACGCAGGUAGACGCGACGGGAACCCUAACCCAGACUCUUUCGGUUUCUCAUGUUGGAAUUUGGUUCCCCCACAGCUGUGAUCAAGAUGGAGGGAGGAACAGACUUUGACCUCCAGGUCCUCGAGGUACCGACUGCACUUGUGGUCAGUGGAGGGGAGGAGACCAGGGCAGGACGGGAGGGAGCCAGGAAGCCACGAUGGGAGGAAACGGCGUCGCUCCGGCCAAUACGGAGGACCCGGGAAGUCAGGGGGAGGGAGGCGCAGCAGCAGGAAGGGGCGGGACAGGAAGGGCUCGAAACAGGUCUGGACGAAGUACUGGAGUACCGAAGUAACUGUACUGCAGUACUGCAGUAACUGUACUGCCAGUUACUGUAGUGAAAUACUGAAAUAACUGUACUACAGUACUGCAGUAACUGUACUGCAGUACAGUUACUGCAGUACAGUUACUGCAGUAACUGUACUGCAGUUACUGUAGUGAAAUACUGAAAUAACUGUACUACAGUACUGCAGUAACUGUACUGCAGUACUGUAGUACAGUCUGUACUGUUACUGAGGAAUCGUCUUGUAAAAAUUGUGGAUUUGGGCCGGCUCUCUUGAUUGGACCACAUUGGUCACAUGGUGUUUCCUGCCCUGGCAGAAUGGAGCGGACGGAGGUGAAGAAGAGGAUGAGGAAGAAGUGAAGAUGACAAAGAAAGUGGGUCAGAGGUGCGAUUCUGCCACUGGAACUUGCAGGACAGUGUCGGUUCUAAACUCCGCCCUCCUCUCAGGACAGAAAGAGGAAGCGCAGCCUGUCAGUGGACAGCGGACCGAGGGCAGCGCCUCAGACUCAGGACUCCUCCCACUCUGAUGGAGAGAAGGAGGAGGAGGAGGAGGAUGGAGAGGAAGGUACGCCUCGUGCUUUCAGUCUGGCCCCAAUCAGGUCAGAGGGUUAGGCUGUUUAUGUGUGUGUGUGUGUGUGUGUGCGCACAGAGCACCGGAAAGAGCGAGGCAAGGAAAGGGAGAAGCUGGCGCCGGUGAAGCCCCGCCCCCUCCACCUCACCACGUCCCUGUUCAUCCAGGAGCCUCCCUCCAGAGGUUGUCCGAAGGACGAGAUCACUGCUGUAGGUACACACACACACACACCCACACACACACACCUGAGAUUCCUCUGUCCCACACACACACAUCUGAGAUCCUCUAUCACACACACACACACACCUGAGAUCCUCUAUCACACACACACACACACACCUGAGAUCCUCCUAUCACACACACACACACACACCUGAGAUCCUCUAUCACACACACACACACACACACUGAGAUCCUCUAUCACACACACACACACACAUCUGCGAUCCUCCUGUCCCAACAAACACACACCUGAGAUCCCUUUACCACACACACACACACCACAACUCUGAGAUCCUCUAUCCCCCCCCCACAACACAACACACAUCUGAGAUCCUCUACCCCCCCCCACACACACACACACACGGCCUGUUGUGUACCUGUAACCAAACACAGCCAGUCGUUCCAUCCACCAGGAAGUCCUUGAGCUGGUGUUCCUGUUUGCAGUUGUGGUCACAGGUAUCC
This 2308-nucleotide long non-coding RNA is filed under the name Takifugu rubripes (torafugu). RNAcentral's name for it is "lncRNA (ENSTRUG00000032689.1)". The record is from RNAcentral. Lineage: Eukaryota; Metazoa; Chordata; Actinopteri; Tetraodontiformes; Tetraodontidae.